UAAGGAAUAUUGGUCAAUGGACGCAAGUCUGAACCAGCCAUGCCGCGUGGAGGAUGAAGGUCCUCUGGAUUGUAAACUUCUUUUAUCUGGGACGAAACACUUCUUUUCUAAGAGGCCUGACGGUACCAGAUGAAUAAGCACCGGCUAACUCCGUACCAGCAGCCGCGGUAAUACGGAGGGUGCAAGCGUUAUCCGGAUUCACUGGGUUUAAAGGGUGCGUAGGUGGGUAUGUAAGUCAGUGGUGAAAUCCCCGAGCUUAACUUGGGAACUGCCAUUGAUACUAUAUAUCUUGAAUACCGUAGAGGUAAGCGGAAUAUGUCAUGUAGCGGUGAAAUGCUUAGAUAUGACAUGGAACACCAAUUGCGAAGGCAGCUUACUAUGCGGUGAUUGACACUGAGGCACGAAAGCGUGGGUAGCAAACA
Molecule: ribosomal RNA, 422 nt
Filed under: uncultured bacterium
Lineage: Bacteria
Description: bacterial SSU rRNA
Rfam family: Bacterial small subunit ribosomal RNA
Source: RNAcentral